GCUUACGGCCAUACCAGCCUGGGUACGCCCGAUCUCGUCUGAUCUCGGAAGCUAAGCAGGGUCGGGCCUGGUUAGUACUUGGAUGGGAGAACGCCUGGGAAUACCAGGUGCUGUAAGCA
This 119-nucleotide ribosomal RNA is filed under the name Salmo salar (Atlantic salmon). The record is from RNAcentral. Lineage: Eukaryota; Metazoa; Chordata; Actinopteri; Salmoniformes; Salmonidae.